RNAcentral lists this ribosomal RNA (329 nucleotides) under uncultured Paenibacillaceae bacterium. Its description in RNAcentral is "bacterial SSU rRNA". It matches the Rfam family "Bacterial small subunit ribosomal RNA", at positions 215 to 560 of the family's 1533-position model. The record is from RNAcentral. Lineage: Bacteria; Bacillati; Bacillota; Bacilli; Caryophanales; Paenibacillaceae.
GCGCUUGGGGAGAGGCCUUACUCCUAUCAGCUUGUUGGUGAGGUAAUGGCUCACCAAGGCGAUGACGGGUAGCUGGUCUGAGAGGAUGAUCAGCCUCGAUGGGACUGAGACACGGCCCAUACUCCUACGGGAGGCAGCAGUUGGGGAUUUUGCACAAUGGAGGAAACUCUGAUGCAGCGACACAGCGUGAAGGAUGAAGGUCUUCGGAUUGUAAACUUCUUUUAUCAGGGAGUAAUCUUGAAAGUACCUGAUGAAUAAGGACCGGCUAACUACGUGCCAGCAGCCGCGGUAAUACGUAGGGUUCAAACGUUAUCCGGAAUUAUUGGGCG